RNAcentral lists this long non-coding RNA (238 nucleotides) under Lathyrus oleraceus (garden pea). RNAcentral describes it as "Pisum sativum (pea) long non-coding RNA (PSAT_LNC021287)". Lineage: Eukaryota; Viridiplantae; Streptophyta; Magnoliopsida; Fabales; Fabaceae. The record is from RNAcentral.
AUUAUGAUAUGAAUAAGCUUCUUUUUUAUUGUCCUUUUCAUUUUUUAUGGGUCAUUUUUAGUAAGAGAAUUUGGUAUUAAUUAUUUAAAUUUCUCUAAAAAAACAUGGGUACAGAGAGAAAGAUGGGGAAAAUGGGAUUUUGUUUGAGAGUUAGGACAAAAAUGAACCAUUUUUGUGAUGUAGCAAUUGAAGAGAGAAGAGAAGACGGUGAGACCUAAAUAAGGAGAGAAGAGAGAAA